Molecule: ribosomal RNA, 801 nt
Filed under: uncultured bacterium
Lineage: Bacteria
Description: bacterial SSU rRNA
Rfam family: Bacterial small subunit ribosomal RNA
Source: RNAcentral
UCGCACGAGAAAGUGGAGCAUCCAUGAGUACAGUGGCGUACGGGUGAGUAACACGUGGAUCAUCUACCUCUUGGUGGGGAAUAACCCUGGGAAACCGGGGCUAAUACCGCAUAAGCCUGCAAAGGGAAAGCAGCAAUGCGCCGAGAGAGGAGUCCGCGGCCGAUUAGCUUGUUGGUAGGGUAACGGCCUACCAAGGCAAUGAUCGGUAGCCGGCCUGAGAGGGCACACGGCCACACUGGCACUGAAACACGGGCCAGACUCCUACGGGAGGCAGCAGUGGGGAAUCUUGCACAAUGGGGGAAACCCUGAUGCAGCGACGCCGCGUGAGCGAUGAAGCCCUUCGGGGUGUAAAGCUCUUUCGGCAGGAACGAUAAUGACGGUACCUGCAGAAGAAGCUGCGGCUAACUACGUGCCAGCAGCCGCGGUAAUACGUAGGCAGCAAGCGUUGUUCGGAAUUACUGGGCGUAAAGAGUGUGUAGGCGGUUCUCUAAGUUCCGUGUGAAAUCUCCCGGCUUAACUGGGAGGGUGCGCGGAAAACUGGAGGGCUGGAGUAUGGGAGAGGAAAGCGGAAUUCCUGGUGUAGCGGUGAAAUGCGUAGAUAUCAGGAGGAACACCUGCGGUGUAGACAGCUUUCUGGACCAUCACUGACGCUGAGACACGAAAGCGUGGGUAGCAAACAGGAUUAGAUACCCUGGUAGUCCACGCCCUAAACGAUGCAUACUUGGUGUGAGCCGUUCAUUCGGUUCGUGCCGGAGUUAACGCGUUAAGUAUGCCGCCCUGGGGAGUACGGUCGCAAGGCUG